GUAGUUAGCCGGGGCUUUCUUACAGGGUACCGUCACUUCUUCGUCCCCUGCGACAGAGGUUUACAAUCCGAAAACCUUCUUCCCUCACGCGGCGUUGCUGGGUCAGGCUUGCGCCCAUUGCCCAAUAUUCCCCACUGCUGCCUCCCGUAGGAGUCUGGACCGUGUCUCAGUUCCAGUGUGGCCGAUCAGCCUCUCAGCUCGGCUACCCAUCGUCGGCUUGGUGGGCUGUUAUCUCACCAACUACCUAAUGGGACGCGAACCCCUCUAAAAGCGAUAAAUCUUUGACCUCUUCCCGAUGCCGGGUUGUGGUCUUAUGCGGUAUUAGCAGUUGUUUCCACCUGUUAUUCCCCACUCUUAGGCAGGUUGUUCACGCGUUACUCACCCGUGCGCCACUAGAAUUAUCAAUUCCAUCCGAAAACUUCCUUAAUAAUCCCCGUUCGACUUGCAUGUGUUAGGCACGCCGCCAGCGUUCGUCCCGAGCCAGAAUCGAACCCUGA
Molecule: ribosomal RNA, 497 nt
Filed under: uncultured bacterium
Lineage: Bacteria
Description: partial 16S ribosomal RNA
Source: RNAcentral